CCUACGGGCGUCAGCAGUGAGGAAUAUUGGUCAAUGGGCGUAAGCCUGAACCAGCCAAGUCGCGUGAGGGAUAAGGUUCUAUUGAUCGUAAACCUCUUUUAUAAGGGAAUAAAGUGCGGGACGUUUCCCGUUUUGUAUGUACCUUAUGAAUAAGGAUCGGCUAACUCCGUUCCAGCCGCCGCCGUAAUUCGGAGGAUCCGAGCGUUAUCCGGUUUUAGUGGGUUUAAAGGGUGCGUAGGCGGCCUUUUAAGGCAGCGGUGAAAGUCUGUGGCUCAACCAUAGAAUUGCCGGUGAAACUGGGAGGUUUGAGUAUGUUUGAGGCAGGCGGAAUGCGUGGUGUAGCGGUGAAAUGCUUAGAUAUCACGCAGAACCCCGAUUGCGAAGGCAGCCUGCCAAGCCAUGACUGACGCUGAUGCACGAAAGCGUGGGGAUCAAACAGGAUUAGAUACCCUUGUAGUC
This 459-nucleotide ribosomal RNA is filed under the name uncultured bacterium. Its description in RNAcentral is "partial 16S ribosomal RNA". It matches the Rfam family "Bacterial small subunit ribosomal RNA", at positions 338 to 795 of the family's 1533-position model. The record is from RNAcentral.